AGCAUAAUUUAGUAUCAAUUUGUAAUUCCAGAGUGCUCUCUUAACAACAUCUCUUUAUGAUGGGCAUUUCAAAACAUUUUAUGUUCUUUGUUCUUCUUGUACUAUUAAUGAUGAUAACCACUUCAAGUCUUGAAGCUAACCAUGUAUUUCUUCAACAUCCUAAAAGUCAGCACUCACUAUUUUAAUUUUUCUUUGGCAACAUUAAAUGAUUUUCUUUGUCUUGGAAUUAAUUUAUAUGUUAAUUAAUAAUGAUUAUUUCUUAUUUUAUAUAAUUAAAUAUAUAGGUGAUUAUUGGAAGAUGUUUUCAACGAUUGGUUUGGAGUGCAAAUGCUGUGAUGGUGAAGGAGGUGAAUGUACAAAGUCAUGGCAUUUGAACUUGCUCAAAUUUUCAGUGCUCUUCUUGGAAACAAUAUUCAUCUCGAAAACCCUAAUUAAUUAACCACAUACAAUGCUUAUUUCGCUUACAUGUGAUAUAAUAAUUAUAUACUUGAUACUAUUACAACAACAACAUACUCAAUGAUAACAUAAAAAUAAUCUAUCCAGUAUUCUACAUGAAAUUAAUAAAGUAACGAUAUUUAGAACAAAUAGUCUUUAAGUUUACAUGGCCAUUAUAUGUGGCACGUGAAAUUUUAUAGUUUUAAUUGUUAUUCUAUGUUAUUGCCAGUUGAUGUAAAAUAAAGUGUUUUUCUAUCAUUCUAUGCUUGCCAUUUAAUUCGUUGUUUAAUUUCUACUCUAAUACCAAUCAUUUUAUAAGUUA
Molecule: long non-coding RNA, 757 nt
Filed under: Solanum tuberosum (potato)
Lineage: Eukaryota; Viridiplantae; Streptophyta; Magnoliopsida; Solanales; Solanaceae
Description: long non-coding RNA (STUB_LNC003735)
Source: RNAcentral